Long non-coding RNA from Sinocyclocheilus anshuiensis, 82 nucleotides. RefSeq lists it as uncharacterized. NCBI's taxonomy places the organism in Eukaryota, Metazoa, Chordata, Actinopteri, Cypriniformes, Cyprinidae. The transcript is spliced from 3 exons. The record is from RefSeq and is a predicted model, not a curated record.
ACCACCUGAACUGGAUCUCAAUGCGAAGUUCGGCAUAGAUUUUCUAUAGGGAAGCUGAAUCAUAACAUUUUUUUUUUUUUUA